CACCAGCCCCUCGAGUGGUGGGGAUGAUUAUUUGGCCUAAAGCGUCCGUAGCCGGCCGGGUAAGUUUCCCGUUAAAUCCAGCGUCUCAAGCGUUGGACUGCGGGAAAUACUGCCUGGCUAGAGAGUGGGAGAGGUGUACGGUAUUCCGGGGGUAGGGGCGAAAUCCUUUGAUCCCCGGAGGACCACCAGUGGCGAAGGCUGUACACUAGAACACGUCUGACGGUCAGGGACGAAAGCUGGGGUAGCGAACCGGAUUAGAUACCCGGGUAGUCCCAGCUGUAAACGAUGCGUGCUAGGUGUUGGGUUGGCCACGAGCCACCCCAGUGCCGCAGGGAAGCCGUUAAGCAUGCCGCCUGGGAAGUACGAUCGCAAGAUUGAAACUUAAAGGAAUUGGCGGGGGAGCACCACGAAGGGUGAAGCUUGCGGUUU
This 429-nucleotide ribosomal RNA is filed under the name uncultured archaeon. RNAcentral describes it as "bacterial SSU rRNA". It matches the Rfam family "Archaeal small subunit ribosomal RNA", at positions 474 to 903 of the family's 1478-position model. The record is from RNAcentral.